CGUCGUUUCUCUCGAUGCUGCUUGCCACUCUUGGAUCCCCUUUAAUCAACACCUAUCCUUGAUUUCAGUUGUCGGUCAAGAGACUUCAUAGUGGGUUUUGCUCUUAUACUUGCCACUUCCUGCUUCUAGCCUUGCCAGUUUUCAUGAUCGGCAGUUAGUGGCCCUGCCGACAUCUCUAUUUCCCGCCACGUUUUUGUCUGUAUUCUACAACAACCGAAAAUUGAGGUUUCAUAUUAACGCCCAUCUCUUCUCUCUUCAUUCUUCUCAAAUUUUCAACCACAACUUUUUGUCUGUAUUCUACAACAACCGAAAAUUGAGGUUUCAUAUUAACGCCCAUCUCUUCUCUCUUCAUUCUUCUCAAAUUUUCAACCACAACCUUACUCUAAAUACUUUUUAUUCUAUUUCUCUUUCUUUCGUUGCAAAAGGAUCCGUAGUAGUUUUCCCCACCGCCUCCUCGUGUUCCCCCCGGACACCUGACGUUGCCGGCAGACGUCCCUGUUUCACCCACCAGAUGACGCCUCCUGUUAUGGUCCAGGUAAUGGGUUCUAUUUUUGUUGAUGUUGAUUUGUAGUAGAAACAAUCAAUUGAA
This 589-nucleotide long non-coding RNA is filed under the name Lactuca sativa (garden lettuce). Its description in RNAcentral is "long non-coding RNA (LSAT_LNC010088)". The record is from RNAcentral. Lineage: Eukaryota; Viridiplantae; Streptophyta; Magnoliopsida; Asterales; Asteraceae.